RNAcentral lists this long non-coding RNA (414 nucleotides) under Physcomitrium patens. Its description in RNAcentral is "long non-coding RNA (PPAT_LNC008138)". Lineage: Eukaryota; Viridiplantae; Streptophyta; Bryopsida; Funariales; Funariaceae. The record is from RNAcentral.
AAUCUUAGUCAAAUAUUAGUCAAAUCUUGGCCAAAUCCUUGUCAAAUCCUAAUGAAAUCCUAUAUAAGCCUCAACCAAACCUUAGACAAAUCCUAGUCAAAUCCUAGUCAAAUCCUCAUUGAAUCCUAAUCAAACCUUAAACAAAUCCUAAUCAAAUUAUAAAAAAUCUUAAAUAAAUCCUAAUCAAAUCCUAAGAAAAUCCUAAUCAAAUCCUAAAUGAAUCCUAAUCAAAUCUUAAAUAAAUCCUAAUCAAAUCCUAGACAAAUCCUAAUCAAAUCCUAAUCAAAUCUUUAUCAAAUCUUAAAUAAAUCCUAAUCAAAUCCUAGACAAAUCCUAAUCAAAUCCUAAUCAAAUCUUUAACAAAUUCUAACCAAAUCCUAAUCAAAUCCUAAAUAAAUCCUAAUCAAAUCCUAG